Molecule: small nuclear RNA, 299 nt
Filed under: Camelus bactrianus (Bactrian camel)
Lineage: Eukaryota; Metazoa; Chordata; Mammalia; Artiodactyla; Camelidae
Also listed under: 2 other names
Description: 7SK RNA
Rfam family: 7SK RNA
About the family: 7SK was discovered as an abundant small nuclear RNA in the mid-70s but a possible function has only recently been suggested. Two independent studies have found that 7SK RNA binds the CDK9/cyclin T complex (known as elongation factor P-TEFb).
Source: Rfam by way of RNAcentral
AACUGAGAGCAAGCUGUCUGUGACAUCCAUCAACCCCGCUGAUUGCCAGAAUUGAUUUGGUGGAUCUGCCUUGCUGGAAAGGUGUCCUCUUUCUUCCUGGUUCUGCUACACGUGUCUUUGCUAGAGCCACACGCUUCACCAAAGAGGAUGAAUUUUCUGGAGGGAGGAGGACAAGGAUCUAUAAAGAGUCAGGCUCUUCUGCUGGAAUAUCCAAGGCUUGUUACGUAGGUUGUCCCACCUGGUUGUGUCCCUCCCACUUGACCAUGUGCCACUUAAAGGUGGAGACUUUGUCUUUGUGU